Heterocephalus glaber (naked mole-rat) is the source of this 46-nucleotide non-coding RNA. The record is from Rfam. Lineage: Eukaryota; Metazoa; Chordata; Mammalia; Rodentia; Bathyergidae.
UCAUAGGCCCUUCUAGGGGCCACAAUCUGCACAGUAAAGGCACUCU